Molecule: long non-coding RNA, 3479 nt
Organism: Marmota monax (woodchuck)
Lineage: Eukaryota; Metazoa; Chordata; Mammalia; Rodentia; Sciuridae
Exons: 2
Source: RefSeq, a predicted model, not a curated record
CCUCCGACUGCGCGCUCUCCUCCCCCGUCCGCGCGCGCGCCCCUCCCGCCUGCGCACCGCGCCCUGCCAUCAGUGCGCGCGGACGCACCGCGAGUGACUGCAGGGUCUGCUCGCUCAGGCCCGCGUCCCACGUUCCCAGCGCUCCACUUCACCUGCCCGCGCGGCCGGAAAGCAGCAAGGAGUCUCGCAGAGGCUCCUCCUCCAGGUUGGCUUCUAACCGCUUGGCUUCCGCAUCUCCCGCCAGUUUGCUUAUUUCCCCUCCCGAAUACUGUAACUCCCGAAUCUUGGAGACUUCGAGCGGUUCAGUCCCGGCGUUCACCCAGGGAUAGGUGACUUGGGUGAGCACAGAAUGGCCAUGAGGUGGUCAACCUCUGUUGCGCCCUGGUUGUCCCGGCAGGGCCUUAGAAAGCCAAGUCUUUGGUGGGAGACGCGGGGACCAGGAGGGCCCGCCCCUCCGGGAGGAGCAAAGCUUCGGCUGACAAGCUGGCCAAUGGGAGGCGAGAACUACUGCACAACGUGGAGCGGCUGCAGAAUGUAAACACAGCCCCCGCGCUGCGGGCCACGUGCGCUCUAGCGCGCCGCAGCUCCUGGCUGGCGCUGCCAUCCCAAGCGGCCACACUCAGGGGAGACUUCCCCAGCUAGCCGGCUAAGCCUUCAAUUCCAGGGCCCCGAGGGCAGAACCCCUCUCUGGAGAGAUUAAGAAGCUUUCCUCAUCCCCACGAGUGUUGUGGCCCUCCAAGAACCCAGCCGGGGGGUGAACAGCUAAAACCACGUGCAGGCCCCUGGCCCGCCCGCCGCGUCCCGCUCCGCCCUGCUGCCAGCGCGCCCUGCGGAGCCCGCGCGAGCCGCCUAGGCGGGAGGGAGCCGCCCUGCGCGCUAAUGGGAGGCAGCGAAUCCCGCUCUUUUCCUUUCCUUUAUUCCUAUAUUUAAGUUUAUGGGUCUCCUAGCUACUUCUCUUAGCGCUCCCAUCCCUGCGCCCCCUUGCACUUCUCCGAUUCGGACACGCAAGUUUUGCGGCGGGAGACAGUUCCCGGAACAAAGACCUCUGGGUCAGAGGAGCCGUUUGAAGGCUUCCUGGAACCGUGGCAGCUCAAGUUGCAAGUCAACUGGGCGCUUUUCUGUCCUGGCCUGGAUGAGUCGUGGGAGAGAGCAGAGAGAAGACCCCACACACGAUCCCCGCAAAGGCCUCUCCAGAGACUGACCCAGAGGCGGCCCGCCAGAGGGACCCUGGCUCCCAGUCCAGGCUUUUUUUGCUGCUCCGCUCGUUAGGGCCCCAGAUCUUAGAAACCAGCGCUUUUGGGGCAGGCAAAAUCCUUUCUCACAGUUUCCCUUUCGAUUCUUAGGACAGUCUCAUGAUGCUAGCCAAAGAAUGAUUUCCCUUCCAAUUUUACACGGAAUAGCCCUGCCCAGUUUGACAUAGAAACAAGAAGUCCAUGCCUUGUCUGUUUCAAGAAACUUUAUAUCAUUCAUAAUGCUUAUGAUGGCUCCCUUUUGCGGUCGCUCAAACCCUUUCCUAUGUAAAGCUUAGCAGUCUAACUCAUGAUGUCAGAAAGGGAGGGUGUCUUCCAACAAGUAUGUUUUAGUCCAGUAUGAGCAAAACUGGUGACCUGUAUGAGUGAAGUUGAUCAUUAAAAUAUGCUGAAAACCAGGGAUGUCAUUAACAUUUGUGGGAUUAAUCUUUCAGUACUGUGUGCCCAGCACUGGCAUACACUAAAUUAAUUGUAAGCAAGGCAUUGUUAUUAGACAUGUACUUGGUCUUAUCCUUGACUAUUAUAUGAACCAAGUGCAAUUGUAGUAAGGAAGAAAUUAGAGUGGUCCCCAAACAGCUUUGUAAAUGAAGGAAUGGGGUGAAUGCUACCAUUUUAUAAAUACCUGGUUAGUGGACAAAUGGGUCUGUAAAAACCAUGGGCUUUCAGACCAACUAAAUUCCAGUCUUGUGCUGCUGCAAGUUACCAAUCCCUCUAACAUGGGUUUUCUCUAGAAAAGUUGUAAGUAGGCAUUCAUCUCAAAGGUUAUUUUAUUUGUUGCUUUUUUUUUUUUUUUUUUUUGGAACUAGGGGUUGAACCCAGAGCUUUUUGCAAAUGCAAGGCAGAUGCUUUGCCACUGAGCUACAUCCCAGCCCUCAAUGGUUAUUUUAAUGAUUAAAUUUAAUAAUGUACAUAGAGACCUCCCUAUGUGUACCUGUCACAAGGUAUGGAUGCUCAAUAAGUACUAGUUCUUCUUACUCUUAACUUCUCUUAUUCACCUCCCCUUACCAGUAGAAAUUAUAAUUCAGCAUUCUGAAUAAAAUAGAAAGCUGAGUUAUAAAAUUUAUGUUUCCCAGAAUUUUGUUCAUGUAGUUAUCCUUUGUUGGACACCUAUUGGGAGGGUCAUCGUUCAAUAUGUCAUCUUUUUUAUAAUUUUAUGUGCUCAUUUUUUGACUUCCUCUUUUUCCAGUCAUCCCAGUUUUAAAGUUCACCUACUUUGAAACAUAUGAAAUUCCUUUAUACUUUUUAAUAAUUUUAGAAAUUUUGGCUUUUUCUUUCUUGUACUGGCGAUUGAAUCCAACACCUUGUGCACGCUAGGCAAGUGACCUACCACUAACCUACAUUCCCAGCCCUUUUUAUUUUGAGACAGGGUCUCAGUGAGUUGUCAAGGUUGACCUCAAACUUGAUAUCCUCUUGCCUCAGCCUCCCAAGUAGCUGAGAUUAUAGGAAUGUACCCCUUUAUCUAGCCAGAAGUCUUGACAUUUUCUAAAGUAUAUUUUCCCUGUUGUGUAUGUCCUAAAAUGCCAUGGCAAAUAAACUCUUGACCUCUGUAGUGCUUCAUUUGCACAAUGCUUUUUAUUCCUGUUUAUUUUUGUGAGGGUGACGGUAAGAUUUUUUUUUUGGGGGGGGGGUGGUAAUAGUGUUGGUUCUGGGAUCAAACCCAGGAACUCUGAGCUACAUCUUUCAGCCUUUUUACUAGUUUUUGUUUAGAGAUAGGAUCUUGCUAAGUUGCUGCGGCUGGCCUGAAAUUUGUGAUUCCCUGCCUAAGAAUGGCUGGGAUUAUGGGCAUGUACCACUCUGUCUGGCCCAGAAAUAUUCUUUUUCUUCUCUCUUUUAUUUAUUUAUUAUUCUAAUUUGUUAUAUAUGACAGCAGAAUGCAUUACAAUUCAUAUGACAUAUAUAGAGCACAAUUUUUCAUAUCUGUUGGGUGUGUGGGAGACUCCCCCUUCCUGGAGAACAUCUUGGAAUCCCUUACUCCUCCCGUACCUCUUCAAAGGGCGCCAAGCCAAGAACACCAAAUUCAAAGGUUUCCUCCACCAAUCCCCGCAGGACACAAUGUCCGCUUGUUGAGUCACCCUACCAAUCAGCACCCACCAUGUGCCCUGUGCAACCCUUCUUUAGCCAAAGCUUGUAAGCACAUGUUCCUCUCUCUCUUUCUGCCCCCCUCCUCUUCUCUCUGCUCUCUACUUCUCCUUUGAGCAGCCACCCAAUAAAAUCUCUUGGUUGAAUCUC